CCUUGGGCCUGUUUUGUGCAGAGGAAGAAUCGACAGGAGCUUGUGCAAAAAGUGAAGACAAUGGAAGGCCAGGACUGUCCUCAGAGAAGCAGCAUGUGCAUAUACUACCAAAGGACUCCUCAGGCAAGCAGGCUCCUGCAAGUGACUAGGUGGCGCUCUGGUCCAGGUGUGAGUGGUGUUUCGAGGACAGAGGCAGGGCAACGCGGCAGGGAGGAAGGAAGAAGGAAGAUCACUGGGUUGUGUGUGGGGGGGUUAAUGAUUGUUUUCUAAGAUUACAAUGGCUGUUUGGGUGUUUGUGAUUUUUUUUUACUGCCGCAGAGAAGACGCCCUGGAGAGGGAAGGGGUAGGCUGAAAUCUAGCCCCACCAGCCCGUCUUGGCUCAUGGUGGUUGGGGCAGCCCGGCACAAGUGGGGCAUUUCACAGUAAACACAAUGAUCCUGGGCAGGAUUGACAGUGCCGGGCGUGGACAUGUAAUUCCAGGCAGAGUCCAGAGAGGGUGAGGUCCCCCUUGCACAACCCAGCCCAGCCCAGCACCUCACACCCUGCAUGAGACCAGAGCAGGAGUGUAGGAAUGGCUGGGUCUUGUGCCAGGCCACCCCCUCACCCAGCUGACACUUGGUGAAACUACGACCUGCCCUGUCCACACUGGGGGUUUGAAGCAUAUUGUCAAUCAUGGUUUAAACACACCUUUGUGCUAGUAUGGACAAGUCCCAAGGAGCACAGCACCUAGGGGAACACCCCUUUCUCCCCAGCCACACAGGAACCCCCUGCAGCAGAACCCCAGUGCUUCCUCCUCACCCUGGGUCUGACCAGGGUCUUUAACCCUACAAGACUCCUGCCAUCCUCAGCCAGGUCCCAGGACAGGUGGGCCAAGCUGGGACCAGGCUCUGCUGACCCCAGGGCAAGCCUGGGAUGUGAGCAUGCAGCGUGCCCCGAGCCUGGCUGCCCUUGCCCCUGUCCAGCGGUGCAGGAGGCUGAGCCCUGCCCGGUGUGUCUGUCAUUGCCAGCCCUCAGCCCUCUACAAGCCCCCGUCGUCACCACAGCUUUGGCCAUCUGGAGCACCAAGCCUGUCGUGUCAAUCAAUAAACUGAUCUCAUGUUA
Long non-coding RNA from Trachemys scripta elegans, 1101 nucleotides. RefSeq lists it as uncharacterized. The transcript is spliced from 2 exons. Lineage: Eukaryota; Metazoa; Chordata; Testudines; Emydidae. The record is from RefSeq and is a predicted model, not a curated record.